RNAcentral lists this ribosomal RNA (499 nucleotides) under uncultured bacterium. RNAcentral's name for it is "partial 16S ribosomal RNA". It matches the Rfam family "Bacterial small subunit ribosomal RNA", at positions 28 to 507 of the family's 1533-position model. The record is from RNAcentral.
GACGAACGCUGGCGGCGUGCCUAAUACAUGCAAGUCGAGCGGACUGAAUGGGGGCUUGCUCUUGUUCGGUCAGCGGCGGACGGGUGAGUAACACGUGGGCAACCUGCCCGCAAGACCGGGAUAACUCCGGGAAACCGGAGCUAAUACCGGAUAACACCGAAGACCGCAUGGUCUUUGGUUGAAAGGCGGCGCAAGCUGCCACUUGCGGAUGGGCCCGCGGCGCAUUAGCUAGUUGGUGAGGUAACGGCUCACCAAGGCGACGAUGCGUAGCCGGCCUGAGAGGGUGACCGGCCACACUGGGACUGAGACACGGCCCAGACUCCUACGGGAGGCAGCAGUAGGGAAUCUUCCGCAAUGGGCGAAAGCCUGACGGAGCGACGCCGCGUGAGCGAAGAAGGCCUUCGGGUCGUAAAGCUCUGUUGUGAGGGACGAAGGAGCGCCGUUUGAAGAAGGCGGCGCGGUGACGGUACCUCACGAGGAAGCCCCGGCUAACUACGUG